This is an RNA transcript of Numida meleagris (helmeted guineafowl), 3325 nucleotides long. It is a transcript of the gene named anaphase promoting complex subunit 10, with no coding region annotated. The transcript has 13 exons. The record is from RefSeq and is a predicted model, not a curated record. NCBI's taxonomy places the organism in Eukaryota, Metazoa, Chordata, Aves, Galliformes, Numididae.
GUAGGUACCUCAGCCCUGUCCCGGCGCUGGCCGCACGCGGGCAUCUGUUUCCCGCCCCGAAUUUAAAUCGCUUUCGCGCGCCGCGCGCAGCUCUGCGCGUGCGCGGCCGUUGAACGGUCGGAGCCGGCCCUGAGACGGUGGGCGCCUGCCGAGCACCCUGCGGGGCUGUGGGACGGCCCCGCCGACGUGACGGCCCCGUAUGCCUUCUCCCGGUCCCCUCGCUCCUUUCUGCUCCUGUGGUGCCGAGGCUCAGAAAUGACUACACCGAACAAGACACCACCUGGUGCUGAUCCAAAGCAGUUAGAGAGGACGGGUACUGUUAGAGAAAUAGGCUCGCAAGCAGUUUGGUCACUUUCAUCCUGUAAACCAGGAUUUGGAGUGGAUCAGUUACGAGAUGAUAAUCUAGAAACUUACUGGCAGUCGGAUGGAUCACAGCCUCAUUUGGUGAACAUCCAGUUUAGAAGAAAAACAACAGUGAAGACAUUGUGUAUUUAUGCAGACUACAAAUCUGAUGAAAGUUACACUCCAAGCAAAAUCUCUGUCAGAGUAGGAAAUAAUUUUCAUAAUCUCCAGGAAAUCCGGGUAGCCAACACCCUUGGCUGUGUGAAUUUUGGCUGAGAUGGUGAGGAGUCUUGCCACCCAAGUAUGAUUCCACCGCCAAAUCCAUCGAUGUUUCACGCUGAGAAUGGGUAUUUGAUACUACUUCACUCUCUGAAAAGGAAUCAAACCUACCUUAGAAAUGUCAUGCUUCGGCCAGUACAGACUGCAAUGCAGAGGCUCAAGAUGACCUUCAAGCUACAAAUGAGACUCGAGUACAAAACAAAGAAAUGAAGAUGUGUAAGACAAUACCUACAUUCUUCCUGCUGUUUACAGGAUAUUGUGUUAAAAAUAUGCGUGUUGCUGCAGAAGGGACAGAAGUCACAUCACUGUCACCUUUUACCUCACAAUCUCCUCAACAAGCAACAACAGGCUCAGGAAGUGCCACUUCCUCAACAGCAAUAAGUCGUGCAUCUCUGUUAGUGGCAGGACUUGGCAUUUUCUUUAUAAUGUUCUUAAUUUGUAUAAUUAUUGGUGUUUGGAAUGCACGAAAAUCAUCGAAGGAUUCAUUUCAGGUUACUUCUGCCCCAUCCAGUGAAGCUUAGGUGACCUUAAGAACAUCAAGACAUGAGAACCAAUGAGAAAAGAAGAAAUGAAAGUCCUAUUACUUGGUUGCUAUUUAGAGGGCCCUUCCACAAGAGCAGAAUAUUAAAAAUAAAUAAAUUAUUGAAACUACAGAGAUCUUAGGUACCAAAGGUGUCACACUUAAGUUAUGUCUAUACUAAUGACUUAAACUUGGCACAGGAACAUUGCUACUUUUGAGACUUAGCUGGAAUAAUCCUUGUUUAUGCUUGAGUUGUGUGUUCUACCUAUUGGGAAUAGCUCCUGGAAGGCUCUAACUUCUAAGUAACAAUCAAGUCACAUGAAUAAACAGUAGUAUUCCAGUGGAUAGGAGUUUCCCAGACAUUGUUUAAUUUAUUAGUCUAGAUGCAUAGGCUUAUUGUUCAAUGCUAUUUCUAAAUGACAUACUUGAUGUAUCACUCAAUUAGAGGGACAGGUAUUUUCACGAUUAAUCAAACCUGGCCACUGCAAACUUUAACUUACUUACUGUGCUGUGUUUGGCUGCUGCAUUGUAACUGUAAAAAGCUAGUCUUUUAAAUGAAAGUCUUGUUGUCAUAAGCUUAUUAUGGUGUCUUAGGCUGGAGUGUAAACCUACCGUUGAACUGUGUUGCACUUUCUCAGUUUGCAGAUAAUCCCAUGGAACAGAAUGACAGAAUAGUCUCUCACCUUGACCUUAGGCAAAAGAUAAGUAUCCACACUGAGUGAUAGUGUAGUGUAAAAUCAUAUGCUGGCAUGUACUUCUGAGAAGCUACGUAAGUUUAAGUGGGUGAAACCCAUGUUGUGAGAAAGCUACUACCCAAAUUCUGUAACCUGAACAAAGGCAUGCCAUAGUUUUCAGCACAUCAUCUGUUUUAUUAAAGGGAAUAAGGAAGUUUCAGGAAAAAACUAUUUUUAUAGAAUGUGAAAAAUAUGUUAACACUUUGAUAAAAUUUAUCCAUUAAAGUCAGCAACCCUGUCUCUACAGUAUUCACUCCUCUGUAUAGCUGACGGACCUUUCUUACACUGGUUCUAGUCCUUAAAAAUAAUCAUCAUCAAGACUCAAGGCUGAAACCUUCAUUUUGCUGGAAGGAUACCAUCAUUAUUUUCCUAAUUGAGUAGCACUUACUGUGUCAGAGGCACACAGCAGCCAGUGACUGUGGUGGGGCUCUGCCUGAGCAGUGUCUGGGGAAUGUGGGGAAGAAGGGGCCAGCAGACAUUUGCCCAAAGAGCUGCCUUCCUGUAGCGUGUCAGGGGAAAGAGGACUGAAGAGGUAAGUCUGAGACAGUCUGAGGUUGCUUUACCAAAGCAUUCCUGUGUAAGCUUUAGCAAAUGAACUUUAUUUCUGAAUUUGAGAGCCUAUUCUUCAAGACAAAAUUGUUAGUGUGUUUGUACCUCAUAUUUUUCUGUGAAGAUGAAUAUUUUUGAGAGCAUGCAAUGUGUAAGUCCCACAGUAACAAAGCUAUACCGAGAACUGUACAUAUGUAGGAAAUUACAGCUUAUGUCUGUAAAUCAUACCAAGCCAGUUAUUUUUCUCAUAACAAUAGAGAAGGAUGCUGUAUCAGCUUUCAACUUGAGUUAUCAAUUGAUGUUCUAUUCAAAUAAAAACAUACAAGUAUUAUUUUUUUAUAGUUUGGGUUUACUUUGUGAGUAAAUCCUUUACUUCAGUACUUCACUUCAUUUACUUUAUUUCAGAGAAACAAAAAUUCUCUGGUUGAAAGUUAGCCACUUUUUCUAUUUUUCCAAUACAGAAAGCUGUUUUUCAUUGUGUUCAGUUAGGAGUUGAAGAAUGAGAUAAUUAUACGAACUAUAUCUGCAGCAGUAUUAUUUAGGAUAGGAGGGUUGUGCUACAGCUGCCUUGUGUGUUAUUUUUUUAAAAUGUACGUCUUAUGUGGUUGGGUAUUUUUCCAUUAAAUAGAAGUUUGCUAUAUGCUUAAAUGUCUUCCUAGAUACUAGAUCAAGGGUGCACUGGACAACAAACUGAAUGUGGAAGAAAUAGGAAUAAACAUUUUUCUGUUUUCCAGGAAUAGUUAAUAUAAACCAUGUUUACACUGCUUUUUAUUUGAUAUUGGCGAACUUGUAUGUGAAUGAAUCUGCUUUUGGAAAUGCUUUUGUAGUGGCUGUAUUUUAUCUGAUCUUUUACAGAACUUCUUGCUAUAAAUUAAAUAUACUAGUUUUUGUUUUGUGUUCA